GACGAACGCUGGCGGCGUGCUUAACACAUGCAAGUCGAGCGGUAAGGCCCUUUCGGGGGUACGACGAGCGGCGAACGGGUGAGUAACACGUGGGUGACCUGCCCUCAGCUCUGGGAUAAGCCUGGGAAACCGGGUCUAAUACCGGAUAUGACUCCAUGACGCAUGUUGUGGGGUGGAAAGCCUUGUGCGGCUGAGGAUGGGCCCGCGGCCUAUCAGCUUGUUGGUGGGGUGAUGGCCUACCAAGGCGACGACGGGUAGCCGGCCUGAGAGGGCGACCGGCCACACUGGGACUGAGACACGGCCCAGACUCCUACGGGAGGCAGCAGUGGGGAAUCUUGCGCAAUGGGCGAAAGCCUGACGCAGCGACGCCGCGUGUGGGAUGACGGCCU
This 389-nucleotide ribosomal RNA is filed under the name uncultured bacterium. RNAcentral describes it as "bacterial SSU rRNA". It matches the Rfam family "Bacterial small subunit ribosomal RNA", at positions 28 to 417 of the family's 1533-position model. The record is from RNAcentral.